Molecule: ribosomal RNA, 484 nt
Filed under: uncultured bacterium
Lineage: Bacteria
Description: bacterial SSU rRNA
Rfam family: Bacterial small subunit ribosomal RNA
Source: RNAcentral
AACGACGCGUGGCGGCAUGCUUUACACAUGCAAGUCGAACGGCAGCGACGGGGCAACCCUGGUGGCGAGUGGCGAACGGGUGAGUAAUACAUCGGAACGUGCCCAAUCGUGGGGGAUAACGUAGCGAAAGCUACGCUAAUACCGCAUACGAUCUACGGAUGAAAGCGGGGGAUCGCAAGACCUCGCGCGAAUGGAGCGGCCGAUGGCAGAUUAGGUAGUUGGUGGGGUAAAGGCUCACCAAGCCAACGAUCUGUAGCUGGUCUGAGAGGACGACCAGCCACACUGGGACUGAGACACGGCCCAGACUCCUACGGGAGGCAGCAGUGGGGAAUUUUGGACAAUGGGCGAAAGCCUGAUCCAGCCAUUCCGCGUGCAGGAUGAAGGCCUUCGGGUUGUAAACUGCUUUUGGACGGAACGAAAAGCCACUUUCUAAUACAAGGUGGUCAUGACGGUACCGUCAGAAUAAGCACCGGCUAACUACGUG